Molecule: long non-coding RNA, 3359 nt
Organism: Triticum aestivum (bread wheat)
Lineage: Eukaryota; Viridiplantae; Streptophyta; Magnoliopsida; Poales; Poaceae
Exons: 4
Source: RefSeq, a predicted model, not a curated record
CGUGCCUGUGGCAAUACGCCGGCUUCGUGUGCGUGUGUGUUGAGUAUCGGCCGGAAUCGAUGAAUCGUGACUCGAUCAGGUUGCUAGCUAGCUUCUGCUAGUAGCAAAUAGUACACGUCCAACUAGUGGUGCUAGAAUUUCAAAAAAAAAAAACUAGCGGUGCUAGCUUGGAACGUGCACGUCUAAGCCGACUUGGGGCAGGAACCAAGUUCAACCGCGUUGCUUUGUUGUUGUGAUCUUUCUCGCCGUUGAUCAUCGUCGUCUUUGGAAAGUACACGACGUCAGGUCUGGGCCAAUAAUUGAUAUCAGAGCGAGACGUAAUUUUAAAACACGUGUCAAAGUUAUAGACUCAAAGGCGGCUGCAUGUAGCGCCCUAGGAGCAGGAGCGCUCGGUCCCCCAGUGAGCCAAGCUAGGAGUCCGAACCCGGCUCGAGGCUGGCCAGGAAUCAGCCUGAAAAAGAUGGUUCGGCCGCCGAUUACACCCUCCAAGAGCGAAUGUCUAGGCGGACGUUGGGGCUAUCCAGGUCAUCACUUUUACUGUGGCGAGGCGAUAGAAAAAUCUCACGCGAGAAACUUCCCCAGGUAACACCUCCCUCGGUGAAAAAUAGAGAGAAAGGAAACUUCCCCAGAAAGGCAGCCGUCGUCUCCUCCCAUCCCAAACCCAGUAGUCCACGCCGCCGUCUCCUCCCAUCCCAAAUUCUCCGACUUUGCCGCGCUGGCUACUAGAGGAAGGGCUUGGACGCCGUCGUCGUCCUCGCCCAUGGCGCGCGUCAUCCGAAAGAACCCCGUCGGCUCCGUCGAUCUGCUAGAUCUGUCCAAGGAGAGGGAGAGCAGUAGUCGCGUUUGGACGCGAGGAGGGGGAGCAGCCAACCGCGCCCGGCCAGCGAGCACCGCGCCGCUGCGUCAUACCUGCAUGGCCUGAUGGCGCCCGUCGUCGUCCAGGAGCAGGAGCUCGCAUCAACGCCCGCCGACCACCUCUCCAAGAUGAGCCGCUCGUUUUCACCUCGGUAGUUGAUUCAGGUGUCGGCGACGAGCAAGCACUCCCAGCAACUCCUCCUCUCAUUCUGCUUAGCCUCGCUGUCCGCGCCCACCGACAGUCCCCUGGUUGUUGCAGGUUUGUGAGCCUUCGAGGCUUCCAGGUGUGGCUUUAGUUAAGUUCAGCCCCCUACACCCGGGAGAUUGGACAAUUUGCCCCACUUUACUUGGACAUUAGAUGAUUUGCCCCAGUUUACAUGGAUUAGAUCAUUUGCCCCACUUUUCAUUUUUCUUUUGAUGAUUUGCCCUUUUCAAUUACUGAAAUCAUUUUCGAAUUUCUAUCCCUUUUUCCCAUGCGUAAAGACACAAUUGCCCCUGUGGCUAAUUUACAAUUCUUCUAUAAUCUUCUCUGCUUUUGGACUGGUCCUAGUUCCAUCGACGAGCUCACUAUUCUCGGGACCCCACUAUUCUCUAGUUCAACACCUUUCCCCUGUUCUUCAUUCCCCAAUAAUCAUACCACAGGAAGCUAAUGGAGGAGGCCGACGACGGCACCUUGACCCCCAUCUUGGCAGCAGCGGCCCCGCGCAGCAGCUCCCGCUGCAGAUCGUCGGCCCGGUGCACGGUGGCUCCAGCUGCAGCUCCUCGGCCCGGCGAGGCGGCUCCCGCUGCAGCUCGGCAGCUCGGCGGCCCGGCGCGGCAGCUCCCACUGCAGGUCGUCGGCCCGGCGAGGCGGCUCCCGCUGCAGCUCCUCGGCCCUGGGAGGCGGCUCCCGUUGCAGCUCGGCGGUCCACCGCGGUGAAUCCCGCUGCAGCUCGGCGGACCGGCGGGUACCCGGGGCUCCCGCUGCAACUCGGAGCUGCAGAAGGUGCGCUCGUUGCUGGUAAAAACUAAGUUCUUCUAGUGAUUCAUGGAUUUACAAUUUUUUUUGUGUCUGAGCUCAUUGCGUUGCCGGUAAUAGCCAUGGUUGGACGACAGUGUUGAUAGUACUAAUUACCCUAGCAGCUGGUACUACUUCAAUCAUGGAGCUGGGUACAUUGUAUAAAAUACUUCGUUCAGUUAUCUCCUCCAGAUGCUUCAGACUUUAAUUGUAUCACACUGAAAAUAUAUGCUUCAUCUAUUGUUGGAUCUCCUUUAGUCACAGGUGAGAGAUCUAUAUAUAUGAUGUGCAUCCUGGCAUAUGCACUUUGUUGGAAAUUGGCAGCAUAUAGCAGCUUCAUAGAUAAAACAAAAUAGACCGACAACAUAUGUUCACUUAGCACAUGGAAUUGAGAGAAUAGAUCACACCGAAAUCACAAACUGAUGCCACAAAAAGGUUGCUCGGUUCAAAUGAAAUGAUAAAUUAAUCCGAGUUUACAUCAAGCAAAAAAUAUCUUUGAAAUUUGUCUGAAAUUGACAAAUUUCAACACAUCUCAGAAUUUAAAAUAGCAAUUCAAUGCACUAAGAUUAGAGCUUCUUCCUCUUUGGGGUCAACUUUUUCUUGCAUGUUGUAGAGCGUGAAGGGAAGUGAGAAGUAGGUGAUGCUACAGAAUCAAUAGUUGUCCCACAUGGCUGUGAUGCAUCGUCUCCAGCUAUGGCCAUAGCAAGCCUCCUGCAUGUUUACACACCAAUGUUAUAAAAGUAAGAUUUUUCUUUUGCAUGAAUCAAAUGUUCAUAUGACAGAUAUAAUAAUUACCUCCUUGUGAUAGGCCCAGGGCUGUUAUGAAGGCUGGGAGGCAGUGUUAUUGUUGUUGUGCGUGUAGGUGUCGCAACAACAACUGGAGCGAGCUCAUGCGCAGACACGUCACUAGAAAGUUCAAUCACACCGGAUGUUACCAAUGGAAGCUAAGGAUAAGGAAGUCUAUCAAAGUCUGCAAUCAGUAAAAAAAAGGUCGCCGACAUCCUGACUUCCAUUCUGUUAUGUUAGGAAACAAUUGCAGGGGUUACUACAAGUGUAGCAGCGUUAGGGGCGGCCUAGCGAGGACGCAUGGCAAGAGGUUCUAACCCUGCUUGUGGCACUGUGUGUGUUUGGGGUGGGGUGGGAGGGAGGGGAAAUCAUAUACUGACCAAUCUGGAGUAGAUCGUGGUGAUCCAUGGACGCAAGAGUCGCCUCCCUGUUCGACAGUAGGUGGAAUCGUCUCAGCGGCCAUCUGUGUGAAGCUUCGCUGUCCGGGGGUCAUUGGAGUUGAUGGCUUCGUGGCCGGCGGUGGAUCCGCCUCUCCACUAGCCAUGAACCUGACGUCACAAGCAACAGAAUCAAUCUAUGAUUUGUGAGUAGCUGGUUCCGUUGGGUAGAGCCAUGUAAAGAAAGUAGAUACGAUUUGUUCCCUGUUAAUUAGUUGCUUCGGUUGGACGUGGCCUUGUAAAGAGAAAAGAUCUGUACAGUACCAAAUUGUAAAUUAGCCACA